Molecule: ribosomal RNA, 344 nt
Filed under: uncultured bacterium
Lineage: Bacteria
Description: bacterial SSU rRNA
Rfam family: Bacterial small subunit ribosomal RNA
Source: RNAcentral
AGGGUUUGAUCCUGGCUCAGGACGAACGCUGGCGGCGUGCCUAACACAUGCAAGUCGAACGAAGCACUUCCGAAUGGAGAUUCGUCAAAGUUCGGAUUUGACUUAGUGGCGGACGGGUGAGUAAUGCAUGAGCAACCUGCCCUGCAGUGGGGGACAACAGUUGGAAACGACUGCUAAUACCGCAUGAUGUGCCGAGGGGGCAUCCCUUUGGCACCAAAGAUUUAUCGCUGUGGGAUGGGCUCAUGUCUGAUUAGUUAGUUGGUGGGGUAACGGCUCACCAAGACUGCGAUCAGUAGCCGGACUGAGAGGUUGAACGGCCACAUUGGGACUGAGAUACGGCCCAG